RNAcentral lists this ribosomal RNA (80 nucleotides) under Triticum aestivum (bread wheat). The record is from RNAcentral. Lineage: Eukaryota; Viridiplantae; Streptophyta; Magnoliopsida; Poales; Poaceae.
GGAUGCGAUCAUACCAGCACUAAUGCACUGGAUCCCAUCAGAACUCCGAAGUUAAGCGUGCUUGGCGAGAGUAGUANNNN